UCCUUAAAGCGUUGCCCACAAAACUGAGAA
This 30-nucleotide non-coding RNA is filed under the name Rattus norvegicus (Norway rat). Lineage: Eukaryota; Metazoa; Chordata; Mammalia; Rodentia; Muridae. The record is from RNAcentral.